RNAcentral lists this ribosomal RNA (449 nucleotides) under uncultured bacterium. RNAcentral's name for it is "partial 16S ribosomal RNA". It matches the Rfam family "Bacterial small subunit ribosomal RNA", at positions 29 to 523 of the family's 1533-position model. The record is from RNAcentral.
AACGAACGCUGGCGGCAGGCUUAACACAUGCAAGUCGAGCGCAUCCUUCGGGGUGAGCGGCAGACGGGUGAGUAACGCGUGGGAACGUACCCUUUCCUACGGAAUAGCUCCGGGAAACUGGAAUUAAUACCGUAUACGCCCUUAGGGGGAAAGAUUUAUCGGGGAAGGAUCGGCCCGCGUUGGAUUAGCUAGUUGGUGGGGUAAAGGCCUACCAAGGCGACGAUCCAUAGCUGGUCUGAGAGGAUGAUCAGCCACAUUGGGACUGGGACACGGCCCAACCUCCUACGGGAGGCAGCAGUGGGGAAUAUUGGACAAUGGGCGCAAGCCUGAUCCAGCCAUGCCGCGUGAGUGAUGAAGGCCUUAGGGUUGUAAAGCUCUUUCAGUAGGGAAGAUAAUGACGGUACCUACAGAAGAAGCCCCGGCUAACUUCGUGCCAGCAGCCGCCGUAA